AUUGAACGCUGGCGGCAGGCCUAACACAGGCAAGUCGAGCGGAAGAAGGGCGCUUGCUCCGGGAUUCAGGGUCUGACGGGUGAGUAAUGCCUAAGAAUUUACCUCGUAGUGUGUGAUAACGUCCGGAAACGGGCGCUAAUACCGCAUACGCCCUGAGAGUGAAAUUGGGUGAGCUUCGGACCUCACGCGAUCAGAUGAGCCUAGGUCGGAUUAGCUAGUUGGUGGGGUAAAGGCCUACCAAGGCGACGAUCCGUAACUGGUCUGAGAGGAUGAUCAGUCACACUGGAACUGAGACACGGUCCAGACUCCUACGGGAGGCAGCAGUCGGGAAUACUGGACUACGGGCGAAAGCCUGAUCCAGCCAUGCCGCGUGUGUGCAGAAGGUCUUGGGAUUGUAAAGAACUUUAAGUUGGGAGGAAGGGCCGUAAGUUAAUACCUUGCUAUAGUGACGUUACCAACAGAAUAAGAACCGGCUAACUUCGUG
This 484-nucleotide ribosomal RNA is filed under the name uncultured bacterium. Its description in RNAcentral is "partial 16S ribosomal RNA". It matches the Rfam family "Bacterial small subunit ribosomal RNA", at positions 30 to 507 of the family's 1533-position model. The record is from RNAcentral.